AACGUAGGUUCCGAGCGUUAUCCGGAUUUACUGGGCGUAAAGCGCGUUCAGGCGGUUUGGCAAGUCGGGCAUGAAAUCUCUCGGCUCAACCGGGAGAGGUUGUCCGAUACUGCUGGACUUGAGGGCAGUAGAGGGUGGUGGAAUUCCGGGUGUAGUGGUGAAAUGCGUAGAUAUCCGGAGGAACACCAGUGGCGAAAGCGGCCACCUGGACUGUACCUGACGCUCAAACGCGAAAGCGUGGGGAUCAAACAGG
Molecule: ribosomal RNA, 253 nt
Filed under: uncultured bacterium
Lineage: Bacteria
Description: partial 16S ribosomal RNA
Rfam family: Bacterial small subunit ribosomal RNA
Source: RNAcentral